Molecule: small RNA, 96 nt
Organism: Pseudomonas rhizosphaerae
Lineage: Bacteria; Pseudomonadati; Pseudomonadota; Gammaproteobacteria; Pseudomonadales; Pseudomonadaceae
Rfam family: t44 RNA
About the family: This family consists of a number of bacterial RNA genes of between 135 and 170 bases in length. The t44 gene is found between the map and rpsB genes in all species in the full alignment apart from Shigella flexneri. The function of this RNA is unknown.
Source: Rfam
CCCGGGAGCAACCAAACCCACACACGUGUCGACACGAUGACCUGGGUGCCGGUGGUUCUGCCACGGGUUGGUCAUUGGGAUACGUGGAGGCUUAAC